This 207-nucleotide ribosomal RNA is filed under the name uncultured bacterium. Its description in RNAcentral is "partial 16S ribosomal RNA". It matches the Rfam family "Bacterial small subunit ribosomal RNA", at positions 568 to 774 of the family's 1533-position model. The record is from RNAcentral.
UGCGUAGGCAGCCAGGUCAGUCAGAUGUGAAAGCCCCGGGCUUAACCUGGGAACUGCAUUUGAUACUGCCGGGCUAGAGUAUGGUAGAGGGAAGUGGAAUUCCGGGUGUAGCGGUGAAAUGCGUAGAUAUCCGGAGGAACACCAGUGGCGAAGGCGACUUCCUGGACCAAUACUGACGCUGAGGCACGAAAGCGUGGGUAGCAAACA